Molecule: ribosomal RNA, 268 nt
Filed under: Enterobacter hormaechei subsp. xiangfangensis
Lineage: Bacteria; Pseudomonadati; Pseudomonadota; Gammaproteobacteria; Enterobacterales; Enterobacteriaceae
Description: partial 23S ribosomal RNA
Rfam family: Bacterial large subunit ribosomal RNA
Source: RNAcentral
CAGCCCGCGACUAAGCGUACACGGUGGAUGCCCUGGCAGUCAGAGGCGAUGAAGGACGUGCUAAUCUGCGAAAAGCGCCGGCGAGGUGAUAUGAACCCUUGACCCGGCGAUGUCCGAAUGGGGAAACCCAGUGUGUUCCGACACACUAUCGUUAACUGAAUACAUAGGUUAACGAGGCGAACCGGGGGAACUGAAACAUCUAAGUACCCCGAGGAAAAGAAAUCAACCGAGAUUCCCCCAGUAGCGGCGAGCGAACGGGGAGCAGCCC